This 263-nucleotide ribosomal RNA is filed under the name uncultured archaeon. RNAcentral describes it as "partial 16S ribosomal RNA". It matches the Rfam family "Archaeal small subunit ribosomal RNA", at positions 748 to 1010 of the family's 1478-position model. The record is from RNAcentral.
AGGGUGUAAACGCUGCAGACUUGGUGUUGGAGGCCCUUUGGGGGCAUUCAGUGCCGGAGAGAAGUUGUUAAGUCUGCUACUUGGGGAGUACGUCCGCAAGGAUGAAACUUAAAGGAAUUGGCGGGGGAGCACCGCAACGGGAGGAGCGUGCGGUUUAAUUGGAUUCAACACCGUAAAACUCACCAGGGAAGACUGUUACAUGAAGGCCGAGAUGAAGACUCUGCUAGAUUUUCAGAGAGGAGGUGCAUGGCGUCAGUGACUGU